This is a long non-coding RNA of Spea bombifrons (plains spadefoot toad), 382 nucleotides long. RefSeq lists it as uncharacterized. The record is from RefSeq and is a predicted model, not a curated record. Lineage: Eukaryota; Metazoa; Chordata; Amphibia; Anura; Pelobatidae. The transcript has 3 exons.
UUCCGGAGACCCUGGUGUUGCAGUCUCCACAAGUUGUCACUACAGGGAGCAGUGAUCAGGAUUGUUUUGACCGAUCAGAACAGACUCUAAGCCAACAAGAAAAUCAGGGUAAGAAGCCACAAGAAUCAUGCUCUAAUCAAACAAUACGAGAAAGGAAUGCUGUGUACAUCAAUGACAUGGUGACUGUGGCAACCCAGACUAACAGUGGCCAGGAUUCACCUGUUAAAAAGAGGAAUGAGUUUUUCAAUCCCAUGCUGAAUGAAUACCAGAAGCUGGCUGUGAGGCGGGUUCUGAGUGGAGAAUGCCGGCCAACGCCAUAUAUUCUCUUUGGGCCCCCGGGGACAGGCAAGACUGUAACCGUCAUAGAAGCCAUUUUACAGGU